CCUAAUUCUACUGCCGGACACUUGUCCAUUUUUUCUGCGGGGUUGUCGAGCACUUGCUCCUUUUUAUUUCCUCAAAAUAUCUUUAUUUUUGCAUAGCCCAUGCCUCUAAUGCAAUAAUACUUCGGAAGAGUGAAUCUUUCUGAAUAAAUGUCUUGAUCUUAGGAGCAUGAUAAAUCUCUCAACAAGGGUCUAACUCAUUUUGAACAAACUCAAUACAGAGAAGAUAGCUUUUAUAAUCAUAAUUAAUAUUUUUAGUUUUAUCAGGCAUAUAAAACACUGAGGAUGGUAGCU
RNAcentral lists this long non-coding RNA (291 nucleotides) under Sorghum bicolor (sorghum). RNAcentral describes it as "long non-coding RNA (SBIC_LNC016005)". The record is from RNAcentral. Lineage: Eukaryota; Viridiplantae; Streptophyta; Magnoliopsida; Poales; Poaceae.